This 478-nucleotide ribosomal RNA is filed under the name uncultured bacterium. RNAcentral describes it as "partial 16S ribosomal RNA". It matches the Rfam family "Bacterial small subunit ribosomal RNA", at positions 28 to 507 of the family's 1533-position model. The record is from RNAcentral.
GAUGAACGCUGGCGGCGUGCUUAACACAUGCAAGUCGAACGAGAAAUGGAGACGGAAACCUUAGGGCUGAAGGCUGCAUUUCUAGUGGCGGACGGGGGAGUAACGCGUGGGUAACCUGCCUCAUACAGGUGGAUAACAGUUGGAAACGACUGUUAAUACCGCAUAAGACCACAGCACCGCAUGGUGCGGGUGUAAAAACUCCGGUGGUAUGAGAUGGACCCGCGUUCGAUUAGCCAGUUGGCGGGGUAACGGCCCACCAAAGCGACGAUCGAUAGCCGAUCUGAGAGGAUGACCGGCCACAUUGGGACUGAGACACGGCGCAAACUCCUGGGGGAGGCAGCAGUGGGGAAUAUUGCACAAUGGGGGAAACCCUGAUGCAGCGACGCCGCGUGAGUGAAGAAGUACUUCGGUAUGUAAAGCUCUAUCAGCAGGGAAGAAAAUGACGGUACCUGAGGAAGAAGCCCCGGCUAACUACGUG